UGGGGAAUAUUGGGCAAUGGGGGGAACCCUGACCCAGCAACGCCGCGUGAAGGAAGACGGUUUUCGGAUUGUAAACUUCUGUCCUUGGUGAAGCGGAAGAGACGGUAGCCAAGGAGGAAGCCCCGGCUAACUACGUGCCAGCAGCCGCGGUAAUACGUAGGGGGCAAGCGUUAUCCGGAUUUACUGGGUGUAAAGGGAGCGUAGACGGCACUGGAAGUCUGGAGUGAAAGCCCGGGGCUCAACCCCGGGACUGCUUUGGAAACUGGGGUGCUGGAGUGCAGGAGAGGUAAGUGGAAUUCCUAGUGUAGCGGUGAAAUGCGUAGAUAUUAGGAGGAACACCAGUGGCGAAGGCGGCUUACUGGACUGCAACUGACGCUGAGGCGCGAAAGUGUGGGGAGCAAACAGG
RNAcentral lists this ribosomal RNA (406 nucleotides) under uncultured prokaryote. Its description in RNAcentral is "bacterial SSU rRNA". It matches the Rfam family "Bacterial small subunit ribosomal RNA", at positions 355 to 776 of the family's 1533-position model. The record is from RNAcentral.